CUUCUGUAUGGUGAACCUGCGGAGGGAUCAUUACACAAAUAUGAAGGCGGGCUGGAACCUCUCGGGGUUACAGCCUUGCUGAAUUAUUCACCCUUGUCUUUUGCGUACUUCUUGUUUCCUUGGUGGGUUCGCCCACCACUAGGACAAACAUAAACCUUUUGUAAUUGCAAUCAGCGUCAGUAACAAAUUAAUAAUUACAACUUUCAACAACGGAUCUCUUGGUUCUGGCAUCGAUGAAGAACGCAGCGAAAUGCGAUAAGUAGUGUGAAUUGCAGAAUUCAGUGAAUCAUCGAAUCUUUGAACGCACAUUGCGCCCUUUGGUAUUCCAAAGGGCAUGCCUGUUCGAGCGUCAUUUGUACCCUCAAGCUUUGCUUGGUGUUGGGCGUCUUGUCUCUAGCUUUGCUGGAGACUCGCCUUAAAGUAAUUGGCAGCCGGCCUACUGGUUUCGGAGCGCAGCACAAGUCGCACUCUCUAUCAGCAAAGGUCUAGCAUCCAUUAAGCCUUUUUUUCAACUUUUGACCUCGGAUCAGGUAGGGAUACCCGCUGAACUUAAGCAUAUCAA
This 562-nucleotide ribosomal RNA is filed under the name Alternaria alternata. RNAcentral describes it as "eukaryotic LSU rRNA". The stretch from base 199 to 352 matches the Rfam family "5.8S ribosomal RNA". The record is from RNAcentral. Lineage: Eukaryota; Fungi; Ascomycota; Dothideomycetes; Pleosporales; Pleosporaceae.